Molecule: ribosomal RNA, 497 nt
Filed under: uncultured bacterium
Lineage: Bacteria
Description: partial 16S ribosomal RNA
Rfam family: Bacterial small subunit ribosomal RNA
Source: RNAcentral
GAUGAACGCUGGCGGCGUGCCUAAUACAUGCAAGUCGAGCGAACGGACGAGAAGCUUGCUUCUCUGAUGUUAGCGGCGGACGGGUGAGUAACACGUGGAUAACCUACCUAUAAGACUGGGAUAACUUAGGGAAACCGGAGCUAAUACCGGAUAAUAUUUUGAACCGCAUGGUUCAAAAGUGAAAGACGGUCUUGCUGUCACUUAUAGAUGGAUCCGCGCUGCAUUAGCUAGUUGGUAAGGUAACGGCUUACCAAGGCAACGAUGCAUAGCCGACCUGAGAGGGUGAUCGGCCACACUGGAACUGAGACACGGUCCAGACUCCUACGGGAGGCAGCAGUAGGGAAUCUUCCGCAAAGGGCGAAAGCCUGACGGAGCAACGCCGCGUGAGUGAUGAAGGUCUUCGGAUCGUAAAACUCUGUUAUUAGGGAAGAACAUAUGUGUAAGUAACUGUGCACAUCUUGACGGUACCUGAUCAGAAAGCCACGGCUAACUACGUG